CCUACGGGUGGCAGCAGUAGGGAAUCUUUCACAAUGGGCGAAAGCCUGAUGGAGCAACGCCGCGUGCAGGAUGAAGGCCUUCGGGUUGUAAAAUGCUUUUAUAAGCGAGAAAUAUGAUGGUAACUUUUGAAUAAGGAUCGGCUAACUACGUGCCAGCAGCCGCGGUCAUACGUAGGAUCCGAGCAUUAUCCGGAGUGACUGGGUGUAAAGAGUUGCGUAGGUGGGAUAAUAAGUAGCUAGUGAAAUCUGGUGGCUCAACCAUUCAGACUAUUAGCUAAACUGUUAAGCUCGAGACCGUUAGGGGUAACUGGAAUUUCUAGUGUAGGAGUGAAAUGCGUAGAUAUUAGAAGGAACACCAAUAGCGUAGGCAGGUUACGGGGACGGUUCUGACACUAAGGCACGAAAGCGUAGGGAGCAAACGGGAUUAGAUACCCCGGUAGUC
This 442-nucleotide ribosomal RNA is filed under the name uncultured bacterium. Its description in RNAcentral is "partial 16S ribosomal RNA". It matches the Rfam family "Bacterial small subunit ribosomal RNA", at positions 338 to 795 of the family's 1533-position model. The record is from RNAcentral.